UUUCAAUCUGACGACGCCGUUUGCUGUGCCCUAAUUGUUGCCCCAAAUCGUAAUUCGUAAGCCCUAAUUGUCAUCCGCAAUUCCCAAACUGGGCUUAAUUGUGCGGUUCUUGUACCAGACGACGACAUAUAAUGAUGUGGGUUCAUGGCAUCUUUGUAGUGGUGCUUUGUGUGCAACGAACUACAAGGGUGGAUGGUGAUGAAGCUUGAAGAGAUAUAAAAGGAAAUGCAGUCUUUAACCUAGAAAAGAUUUAUUGAAAUAUAAUGUAGAGGAACAUUAAAUAAAAUAAAGAAAGCUUUGAUGGUCUAACAAAUAGUACAACAAACAUCUUUGAGAUUUCUUAUACAAAAUCUUGAACUUUCUUCUUGGCUGUUUGAUACCUGAAGUGCAAAAUGUUGGUGGGGGGCUUGUUUAUCUUUUCUGGAAGUUGACUGUCUUGAUGGAAAGUGCAAAUACUAAAGUGAAAGAAACGAUGAAGAGGAGAAGCAUGGACGCCACAAAUCCCAGCAUACUGUGUUUGUAACCAAAGUAGUUCCUCAAGAAUUCUUCAACUGUUUCCCCAGAGCCCAGCACAGUUUGAGAUUUCCCAAAUUGUGUGACGAUGAUACCGUACAAGCUAUAAGCCGUGGGGCUUAGCCAGUAGUACCAUCUCAUAUAUACAGGUCGUGGGAUGAUGAAUCCUGAGAAGAGAUUCCACAGUCCAUAAAAGAAAGAAGAGAUAAUGCUGGCUACAGAUAGAUUAGGAGUGACUGCCACGGUCAUCAUGCCGAAUAGGACAAAGAACAUCAAUGUGAUGAAGAGGAAAUACAAGAACCAGAAGAGAUUUUCAGCAGUCCACCCGAAAUUCAUCAUUGAGAAGAUAAUGAGGCCAUAGACAACGGAUUGAACAAAGAUAUAUGGAAUCUCUAUGAGGAGCUGCAAGAGAAAAAGGUGUUAGUUGUAACUUCAAACUUCAGAGGUAACUAAACUCAUAUAUAAAGAUAAAAAUCUAUACUUGUGAGAGUGCAUAUGGUAGAGGUGAAUACAUUCCAGCUGCUCUUUCUCUGUAAAAGACUGUUCGUUCAACGGACACUACAGGCUGGACUGUCGAGCUGUACUGGAAACCCAAGAAGGUCAUGGAAGAGAACAUAGCACCCAUGGCGUUGAAGAGAUCUUGUUGAUCAUCCCUGCAAAUCAUAGUAUAAUAUGAGCAUAGAAUUAGUGAAAAGUAUUUUGACAUAUGAGGUGAUUUACGUUUUUGAGCCGAGAUCCCAGAAAAUCGACCCAAAUGUGAGGGCUAUGAAGGUUGUGAAAGCAAAUCUGACUGCUGUAUAUGGAGUAUUUCUCCAGUAAGACCAGUGUUGUUUCCACAAGCAUGCUUUGCAUUGAGUGAGGAAGGGUUGGGAGUAUUGCGAGGGGAAAUAUAGAUCCUUUGUGCCAGGGCGAGGGACGCUUAAUUCCUUGAUCAGGGCUUUGUUCCUCGUGUAUAGUUCUGAAUUUUUGUAAAGAUCAGCAAAGUCAGCUCCCAAAUGAAGCUCUUGUGCUGAAGAAGUGACUUCCAGCAUCCAGAUAUGGUGCACCUCACCUCAUCAAAUGCUUCAAAUAUGUCGAUGCUUGGCUGAUGGAUAGUGCACACGACGGUUCUUCCUGUGUUGACCGUGUUCCUGACAGUUCUCAUCACAAUUGCAGCAGCUCUUGCAUCAAGCCCUGAUGUUGGCUCAUCCAUAAAUAUGAUGGAAGGAUUAGCUACAAGUUCAACUGCGAUUGUCAGCCGUUUUCUCUGCUCGGUUGAGAGACCACUAACCCCUGGCAACCCAACUAGUGCUCCUCUCAGAGGGGUAAGUUCUAUAAGUUCCAUCACCUCCUCAACGAACAUCUAUUAGUAGCACAAGCAAGCGCAACCAAGCUGAGUAAGUGAGCGACUCAUGGACAGUAACAUUUGGAGAAUGGAUGUCGUUCUGUUCACAAUAUCCAGAAAUCCGGGCAAACGUUUCCUGAUUCUUUGGAUAACCAGAGAUUGUGAUAUUUCCUUCAAUGUAUCCUCCUGUUUUCCUUCCAGCUAAUACAUCCAUCAAAGUUGUUUUACCAGCUCCGCUCACACCCAUCAAAGCUGAUCAUUCCCCUAGUCUCGUUCUCGUUGGCUUCUGAGGUUCCAGAGGAGAUGCUUCCCCUUCUACUUCCACCAGCCUCACCCAUAAUAGCAGCAUCUUCAUCUUCUUCUGGUAAUACAGCUUGUUUCUUGUCAUAUGCUGCACCCAUUUUUAAUUGCUGAGUGUAAAAUUAGGAAAAUACCGAAAUCCCUCGGACUAGAAAAAAACUUACAAUUGAGGUAUGUAAGACAGAUCAAGAAGCUGAAGUUGAACAGAAACAUGAAACCAAUAGAAGCCCCCACUCCUAUCCAAUACCAGUAAGAUUCUGGGAAGAAACCUCUCGACUCCAUCACAAGGACACCCAAUUUGGUUCCAUUAAUAUCCUGCAAAAUCAUCGAAUCAUGAUUUGUCACUCUUAUAGCAAAAUGCUAGUAAUCUAAGAACCAACAGUUGGUGUGUUGACUUACUUUACUCCAACUGUGUCCUGUGAAUUCGUUAACAAGAAUUGCAUUCUGAGCAUACAUCAAUGGUGAUGACCAGUAGCCCCAUUUCCACCAUUUCUUCACACUGUCUGCGUUUUCACAACCAAAUAAACGUGAUGAGACAAUGGCACCACUAUUUUAAGUAUGAGCACUUGAUCUAUAUUUCAUACUCCGUGACAGGAUAAAUCCGCCCAUUGCAAAAAGCAUGAUCAGUGUGAACAAGCCAAAUGUGUUUGCUAUAAUCAUGUUUCUGCCUGCUGAUCCGAUGAAUCUGAACAAUCCUGAUGCUGACUGGUUUACGAGUACAAGCAAGAGGAGCUGCUUUGCGAAUCUGUGGUUAAAGAUUCUUGAUCAUUAAUCUUAGUUGAAAGAGAUGACAAAGUAAUAUACACAUAUAUUUGUGUAUGGUUGGUUACCUUCCUGCAUUUGGAUCUUGUCCAACAACAUAGUAAGUGAGACCUGUCCAUAAACCGACUUCCAUGAAGGUGAACGGUAUGUUGAGUAACCAUGGGGGAAGACCAUAUACCCAUGGGGGGUAAAAGAACAUAUCCCUUUGUUUGUAGAAGACUGGAAGCUUUUUAAUGGUCAUCGCAAUCUCAGACAUUCCAUUGAACAUGAUUAUAGUCACUGUGAAAAACAGAACCCCAGUGUAUACACCUCCAUCAGCAAUAUCAUCUUUAGCCAUUCUAGUUCGGAAGAACAUGGCCAUGGCAAUAGCUGCCAGGAAAGUGAGCUGAAAAUAAUUAUCAGGAAGAAGACGAUGUCAGUCAGUGACGUAUAUAAUCCCAUGGGAAAUACUAAGAUUCUAGCUUGCCUGGAAGAGUUUGAAGAAAUAGAAAAAUGAGUUUCUCUUCAUCGACAAGAAUUCUCUUUCAGCACAGGCUUUCAGGAGUUCUUUUCUCCCAAGACCGUACUUUUUUGUUGUCAAUGCCGCUGGAUGGUUUUUGCUCUUAUCAUAUGGAGCUGCAAGCUCUUCCCCGAGCCUUCUACCAACAACAGUUGAUUGAAAUGCCUCUGCGAAUUCUCUACCCGAAACGAACCGCCACUCCUUUUCUCUCCGGGCAUUUGAACCCCAUGGAUUCAAAGAAUUCAACCACAUAUUCUCGAGGACCAUGAUAAACAACAUUCCCCUCAGACAAAAGCACAAUGUCAUCGAAGAGGUCAUAUGUCUCGGGUGCUGGCUGCAGGAGUGAGAUAAAACAAGUCCCCUUCAUGAUGUGGACAUACUGUCGAAGCAUAUUGAUGAUUUGAUAUGUUGUAGAACUGUCCAGUCCAGUUGAAAUCUCAUCCAUGAAAAGCGCGUUAGAUGGUCCAACAAGCAUUUCUCCUGCAACCAGGUCAACUUCAGUUUCUGUAUUACUCUUUGUGUUACUACUGCAUCAUAGUUUACCUGUUGUGACUCGUUUUCUCUGCCCUCCGGAAAUUCCCCUUAACAUCUCAUUUCCUACUAAAGUAUCAGCACAGACAUCAAGCCCCAAGAUCUUAAGAACGUAUUCUGUAACAACAUUUACUUCAUCUCCUUCCGUGGCAGCUGCCUACAUUAUCACAAAUCAGACUGUUCUGCCAGCAUAUCUGUCCGAGCCAUACGUGACCACAAAAACAGUAUAAAUUCGUCCAAUCCGUGUCCAUUGUACGUCACUCUUCCUGAAACCUGCUCAAGCAUGUCAAUUAGAAUCAUGUUGAUCUUGAACAAGUGAGGUAGAGAAACUGGAAUUCAUAAUGCAAUUGAUGCUACUUUUAGAUCAGAGUCGAGCCUUCCAGCCAAAGCCUGCAAGAACGUGGUCUUUCCAGAAUUCGGAGGGCCUAAAAGCAAGGUCAAUCUGCCGGGCUUGAUGAUCCCAUUAACAUCAUUGAGGAUGGUGAAUGGCUUCUUUCUGCUCCGAGUUAUACGCAGAAGGUUCAGAAUCCCCUAAUAAGGAACACAAGCUGCAAGAUUCAGAGAGAAGAUCAAUCCCGACUCUGUAGAAUGAAAUCAACAUCAAGAUAAUUUGACAAAGGCAGCAGCAGCAAAAGUGAUGCAACCAAAUGAUCUCUUACCUCUCAAUUCUGCUCCUGAGCUUUUUGAGGAACUUGUCAUUAUCGAUCUCCACGUCCCUAACCAGCCUCUCCACCAGUUUCUUCUUGUCCUCGUCUUGGAGAUCGUGAACAUCAACGUCGUGUGGACCCUUUGAUCCGAGGAGGAUCCCUCUCCUGAGACGAUCAACCGUUGGCAACUUCUCCAAGACAGCCCAUUUCAAGGACUCCUCAUCAUCUUCAUCGCGUGUUGAGCGCCUGAAUACUUCGUCGUCUGUGGCCCUCCACAUCCGCAUGCUGUUCGCCCUCAAGCUCGAGCUCAGCCGGCUCAUGCUUCCGCUCUCCAUUAGACUCGAAGCUGUGUUUCUACGUGCUUUGUUUCAUCAACAUGAACAUCACUGCAUGGUGGAAAAUUGUGGCUGCUUUUGAGUUAUGCUCAUUGUAACUUCUCAAAUUUUCAUAUGGGAUCACUUAUAAUAAUUUGAAGAUGCCAACUUUAUCUCAAGUUGUAAUUUAAUUCCUUCUAGAUUUUAUUUUUUUUAGAAAACGAUUCAUCAAGUUAGUAUUCAAUGCCUAUUCAGUAGAUUAUCUGA
Molecule: long non-coding RNA, 5157 nt
Organism: Salvia miltiorrhiza (redroot sage)
Lineage: Eukaryota; Viridiplantae; Streptophyta; Magnoliopsida; Lamiales; Lamiaceae
Exons: 10
Source: RefSeq, a predicted model, not a curated record